This 723-nucleotide ribosomal RNA is filed under the name Vibrio sp. 12D06. Its description in RNAcentral is "bacterial SSU rRNA". It matches the Rfam family "Bacterial small subunit ribosomal RNA", at positions 33 to 735 of the family's 1533-position model. The record is from RNAcentral. Lineage: Bacteria; Pseudomonadati; Pseudomonadota; Gammaproteobacteria; Vibrionales; Vibrionaceae.
ACGCUGGCGGCAGGCCUAACACAUGCAAGUCGAGCGGAAACGACACUAUCAAUCCUUCGGAUGCGUUAAUGGGCGUCGAGCGGCGGACGGGUGAGUAAUGCCUAGGAAAUUGCCUUGAUGUGGGGGAUAACCAUUGGAAACGAUGGCUAAUACCGCAUAAUGCCUACGGGCCAAAGAGGGGGAUCUUCGGACCUCUCGCGUCAAGAUAUGCCUAGGUGGGAUUAGCUAGUUGGUGAGGUAAUGGCUCACCAAGGCGACGAUCCCUAGCUGGUCUGAGAGGAUGAUCAGCCACACUGGAACUGAGACACGGUCCAGACUCCUACGGGAGGCAGCAGUGGGGAAUAUUGCACAAUGGGCGAAAGCCUGAUGCAGCCAUGCCGCGUGUAUGAAGAAGGCCUUCGGGUUGUAAAGUACUUUCAGUUGUGAGGAAGGGKGURWMGUUAAUAGCKKYRYMUCUUGACGUUAGCAACAGAAGAAGCACCGGCUAACUCCGUGCCAGCAGCCGCGGUAAUACGGAGGGUGCGAGCGUUAAUCGGAAUUACUGGGCGUAAAGCGCAUGCAGGUGGUUCAUUAAGUCAGAUGUGAAAGCCCGGGGCUCAACCUCGGAACUGCAUUUGAAACUGGUGAACUAGAGUGCUGUAGAGGGGGGUAGAAUUUCAGGUGUAGCGGUGAAAUGCGUAGAGAUCUGAAGGAAUACCAGUGGCGAAGGCGGCCCCCUGGACA